CACUUACCUAUAUCUAGCAUAUCGAAUCAAUCUCCAAUAUUACAUAUGAUCAAGAAAUUGGUGGAUAAAACGGUGACCAAUAAUAAUACUCUUUUAUCUUCACUUUCUUAUAUGCAGUGCAAGUUUAGAAACUACAUCCAACUGCCUUCGUAGUGCAACACCCUCUUGACUAGAUUAUCUUGAAAUUCUUUUAGAUUGACCAAUAAAAGAGUUUUACAAACCCUAAAGAAAGAAGGGUGUAGUUCAUAUCUAUCACAAAGUGAAAAUUUUGUUCCACUUGGCUGCUUAGGAGGCUGGAAAGGAGGCACUGCUCAGGGAGCAUACUAAUGUUAUAUGCUAAAAUGAUUUGUUCAUCCUUGCAUCAAUUCCAAACAAGGAUGAGCACAUCAUUUAUAUUACUCAUUCGCCAUAAAGUAGUCUAUUUACAGAGAAUCGAAGUGCAAGGUGGAUUGGCCGGCAAAUUUAAACAGAGCA
This 474-nucleotide long non-coding RNA is filed under the name Phoenix dactylifera (date palm). RNAcentral's name for it is "long non-coding RNA (PDAC_LNC001881)". Lineage: Eukaryota; Viridiplantae; Streptophyta; Magnoliopsida; Arecales; Arecaceae. The record is from RNAcentral.